ACUGUAACCUCAACACUACUUUUUUUUACCCUCCUGGUGGGGGUGACCUUAUCUUGUAUCAACAUUUAUUCUGAUUCUUGGGUCACCCUGAAGUGUAUAUCCUUCUCCUACCAGGCUUCGAGAUGAUCUCCCAUAUCGUAACACACUACUCAGGAG
Long non-coding RNA from Nomascus leucogenys (northern white-cheeked gibbon), 156 nucleotides. RefSeq lists it as uncharacterized. The record is from RefSeq and is a predicted model, not a curated record. The transcript is spliced from 3 exons. NCBI's taxonomy places the organism in Eukaryota, Metazoa, Chordata, Mammalia, Primates, Hylobatidae.